GGUAAGUUCACAGUGAGUGAAAC
Molecule: non-coding RNA, 23 nt
Filed under: Mus musculus (house mouse)
Lineage: Eukaryota; Metazoa; Chordata; Mammalia; Rodentia; Muridae
Source: RNAcentral